GCGGGAAUCACAAUUUUUUAACUAUAUUUGCAAAAUUCAAUUUCAAAACACGAUUAAUGUAUAGUUUCGGAGUUGUAGUUAAUGUCGGGGUUAAGCUUCACUCUCAUACAAACGUUUCUCCAGUGAGGUCCGAAAGUGCUGCUGUACAUUUCGAUGAUACCAAUAAGGUCACGUCCUUUAGAUCUCCUUUUUUUGAUUUUCUGAACAUUUAACUGUAAGAAACUAUAUCUAUUCCAACCCUGAAGCGACAACAAAAGUGAAGUGUUAAAUUUUGGGUUUGAGUAAGUGUAAGGGCCAGUGUUUG
This 304-nucleotide long non-coding RNA is filed under the name Mytilus galloprovincialis (Mediterranean mussel). Lineage: Eukaryota; Metazoa; Mollusca; Bivalvia; Mytilida; Mytilidae. The record is from RNAcentral.